This 1240-nucleotide ribosomal RNA is filed under the name metagenome. Its description in RNAcentral is "bacterial LSU rRNA". It matches the Rfam family "Bacterial large subunit ribosomal RNA", at positions 1564 to 2813 of the family's 2925-position model. The record is from RNAcentral.
UGAGUACGAGAUGCUACGGCAUCGAAGCAGUCUAUGUCAUACUUCCAAGAAAAGCUCGCACUGUCAUAAACAAAUAAUGCCUGUACCAUAACCGACACAGGUGGGUAGGUAGAGUAUACUAAGGGGCGCGAGAUAACUCUCUCUAAGGAACUCGGCAAAAUGACUCCGUAACUUCGGGAGAAGGAGUGCCUUAUUUAAAAGGUUGCAAUAACCAGAUCCAAGCAACUGUUUAUCAAAAACACAGGUCUCCGCAAAGUCGUAAGACGAUGUAUGGGGGCUGACGCCUGCCCAGUGCCAGAAGGUUAAAGAAGUUGGUUAGUUUCGGCGAAGCUGAUAACUGAAGCCCUGGUGAACGGCGGCCGUAACAAUAACGGUCCUAAGGUAGCGAAAUUCCUUGUCGGGUAAGUUCCGACCCGCACGAAAGGCGUAAUGAUUUGGAUACUGUCUCAGAGAGGGGCUCGGUGAAAUAGACUUGUCUGUGAAGAUGCGGACUACCUGCCCCUGGACAGAAAGACCCUAUGAAGCUUUACUGUAACUUGAAAUUGAAAUUGGACUUUAUUUGCGCAGUAUAGGUGGGAGGCAUUGAAGAUAUUCUUGCGGGAAAAUUGGAGCCAUCAGUGAGAUACCACUCUUGUAAUGUUAGAUUUCUAACUUUGUAUCAUUAUCUGGUCAAAGAACAGUUUCAGGCGAGCAGUUUGACUGGGGCGGUCGCCUCCCAAACGGUAACGGAGGCGCACAAAGGUUUCCUCUGAACGGGUAGAAAUCGUAUCUAGAGUGUAAAGGCAUAAGGAAGCUUGACUGUGAGACCUACAAGUCGAGCAGGGACGAAAGUCGGUCUUAGUGAUCUGACGGUGCUGAGUGGAAAGGCCGUCACUCAACGGAUAAAAGUUACUCUAAGGAUAACAGGCUGAUCUCCCCCAAGAGUUCACAUCGACGGGGAGGUUUGGCACCUCGAUGUCGGCUCAUCGCAUCCUGGGGCGGUAGUACGUCCCAAGGGUUGGGCUGUUCGCCCAUGAAAGCGGUACGCGAGCUGGGUUCAGAACGUCGUGAGACAGUUCGGUCCAUAUCCGGUGUAGGCGUUAGAAUAUUGAGAGGAGCCUUCUUUAGUACGAGAGGACCGAGAAGGACAUACCUCUGGUGUACCAGUUAUCGUGCCAACGGUAAACGCUGGGUAGCUAUGUAUGGAGUGGAUAACCGCUGAAAGCAUCUAAGUGGGAAGCCCACCUUAAGAUAAGUAUUC